Molecule: long non-coding RNA, 261 nt
Filed under: Ursus maritimus (polar bear)
Lineage: Eukaryota; Metazoa; Chordata; Mammalia; Carnivora; Ursidae
Description: lncRNA (ENSUMAG00000013866.1)
Source: RNAcentral
GCGCUGGCGUCACAGAUUCGGGGCACCUGGAGGGAAUGCUGGGUUAGCAGAACCUUCGUGAAUCUGAUGACCAUUGGAGACUUAACAAAUCACCAUGCCUUUGAUGAUAAAGUGGGAGAAGGAAGUCUUUAACUGGCUUGCAGUUGCCGUCAUGAAGAUCUGUUAUUUACAGUCAAAGAAUCCCAAAGAGAACUGCUGUGAAAAAUAAGAGCAUCUUAAUUGACUGCCUCGAAGCUGUGCAUUUCAGACAUCACAGAGGCU